This is a non-coding RNA of Onychomys torridus (southern grasshopper mouse), 378 nucleotides long. Lineage: Eukaryota; Metazoa; Chordata; Mammalia; Rodentia; Cricetidae. The record is from the annotation of a RefSeq genome assembly.
AUGGACAAGAGGACACCUGCUAAGCUCCUCGGGCUUCUGCUGCUCUGGUUACCAGGUGCCAGGUGUGACAUCCAGAUGACCCAGUCUCCACCCUCCUUGUCUGCAUCUCUGGGAGACAGAGUCACCAUCACUUGCCGUGCCAGUCAGGGCAUUAGCAGUUAUUUAAGCUGGUUACAGCAGAAACCAGGGAAAGCUCCUAAGCACCUGAUCUAUGCUGCAUCCAACUUGGACAAUGGGGUCCCAUCGAGGUUCAGUGGCAGUGGGUCUGGGACAGAUUUCACUCUUACCAUCAGCAGCCUGGAGUCUGAAGACAUUGCAACUUAUUACUCUCUACAGUAUAAACAGUUUCCUCCCACAGUGGUACAAGCAAUAACAUAA